Molecule: ribosomal RNA, 465 nt
Filed under: Vreelandella stevensii
Lineage: Bacteria; Pseudomonadati; Pseudomonadota; Gammaproteobacteria; Oceanospirillales; Halomonadaceae
Description: partial 16S ribosomal RNA
Rfam family: Bacterial small subunit ribosomal RNA
Source: RNAcentral
CCUACGGGUGGCAGCAGUGGGGAAUAUUGGACAAUGGGCGAAAGCCUGAUCCAGCCAUGCCGCGUGUGUGAAGAAGGCCUUCGGGUUGUAAAGCACUUUCAGUGGGGAAGAAAGCCUUGGGGCUAAUACCCUCGAGGAAGGACAUCACCCACAGAAGAAGCACCGGCUAACUCCGUGCCAGCAGCCGCGGUAAUACGGAGGGUGCGAGCGUUAAUCGGAAUUACUGGGCGUAAAGCGCGCGUAGGCGGUCUGAUAAGCCGGUUGUGAAAGCCCCGGGCUCAACCUGGGAACGGCAUCCGGAACUGUCAGGCUAGAGUGCAGGAGAGGAAGGUAGAAUUCCCGGUGUAGCGGUGAAAUGCGUAGAGAUCAGGAGGAAUACCAGUGGCGAAGGCGGCCUUCUGGACUGACACUGACGCUGAGGUGCGAAAGCGUGGGUAGCAAACAGGAUUAGAUACCCUAGUAGUC